CUGCGCUAAGUUAAGUUAUAAUUCAUUGGGAAAGUGACUGAUACAUGUCACCAUAGCCUUGGCCCUCGCAUAUCUAAUUCAGAAAGAUUCAUAACCAGCGAUUGGCCAAUGAAACCUGAAAAUCUAACAAUAUCUAUGGUGGAAUAAACUAAAGCUAUACCUUUUCUGCGUGUUGAUUUCUAAUUGGUCCAUGUUCACUUAUCUUGGAGAAAAUUGGCCAAUUAAUGAAGUUAUAUUUUGUGCUUGGGUGGAUGCAGAAGUAAGCACAGAACACUAAAGUUGCAUAGCUAUUCAGAUCACAACAUUUGGACACAAACAAUAAUAGAAAGCGAGAUGGAAUGCAAAUGGGGCUUGUUGGGUACGGUGGCGGUUGUGGCGGUGGUUGCGGCGGUUGUGGUGGUUUUGUGUGGAAAUGUUGUGGAGGGUUCAUUUGGCAUCCAACUCAACCCGUGCACAGUUGCUCAGUGUGUCGCUGAGUGCAAAAAAGCUCUGCAUGAGAAGUAUCUUAGUGCAACUUGUGCUAAUGGGACUCCAGGAAAGUUCUGUAUCUGUCUAGGUUGAUGAUAAAUUCACACAAUUAUUAGUUUCUGUAUUGAAGUUUUUUUUCUUGCUAUGUGAUGUUAAAAGAUCUAUAGGUUUGUUAUUGGGUUUAAUUAAGCACUCAAAGGUCACAUUAUUUCCCCUACUUAUUGUAAUUUUAUAUUGUUCUACUAGUUUAUUAAGAAAAAUAUGUAUAUGUAAUGUGAUAUCUGUAUUUAUAUUUCUAUCUCAAGUGAUGAUUACAAUAAUUAAUUUUAUUGUAUUGUCACUAGUAGAUUAAUCUGUUAAAUCUUUGGAGAUUGUGUGUAUUA
Long non-coding RNA from Mercurialis annua (annual mercury), 851 nucleotides. RefSeq lists it as uncharacterized. The record is from RefSeq and is a predicted model, not a curated record. NCBI's taxonomy places the organism in Eukaryota, Viridiplantae, Streptophyta, Magnoliopsida, Malpighiales, Euphorbiaceae. The transcript has 2 exons.